UGGAGAUAUCGUGGCUGCCACGCGAGACGUCAUUGCAUCUCUCCCGACGUUGAAGGGAUUUGAGCGAGUCUUCGUACCCGCUAAAAGAAAAUAGAGGAAAAUUUUGCCACGGGGAGAGGAGAGUAAGAGAAACCCAACUUACUUGCUGCUCUCACCACUAGAAGGGCUGGAGGAGUGACUGCAAUGACAAGAAGCGCGCGCUACGAUACCCGAAUCCUGACCACUGGAAUGCAAGGAUGUCGCAGAUGCCUCGAGGCCUUUCAAGGUCAGACUUACGUGUGAAAGCGGACACAGUUGCCGUGCUCGCAUAUGCUCUGUCGCCUGGGCAUCUCGGAGCAGAAGGGUUCG
This is a long non-coding RNA of Monomorium pharaonis (pharaoh ant), 348 nucleotides long. RefSeq lists it as uncharacterized. The record is from RefSeq and is a predicted model, not a curated record. Lineage: Eukaryota; Metazoa; Arthropoda; Insecta; Hymenoptera; Formicidae. The transcript has 3 exons.